Molecule: transfer RNA, 64 nt
Filed under: Marmessoidea bispina
Lineage: Eukaryota; Metazoa; Arthropoda; Insecta; Phasmatodea; Lonchodidae
Description: tRNA-Arg
Source: RNAcentral
AAAUAAUAAGCAUAUGAUGCACUUAGUUUCGACCUAAAAGAAUAUGUUAAAACAUAAUUAUUUA